RNAcentral lists this ribosomal RNA (522 nucleotides) under uncultured Chitinivorax sp. RNAcentral's name for it is "bacterial SSU rRNA". It matches the Rfam family "Bacterial small subunit ribosomal RNA", at positions 8 to 525 of the family's 1533-position model. The record is from RNAcentral. Lineage: Bacteria; Pseudomonadati; Pseudomonadota; Betaproteobacteria.
AGAGUUUGAUCCUGGCUCAGAUUGAACGCUGGCGGCAUGCUUUACACAUGCAAGUCGAACGGGGUUAAGGGGCUUGCUCCUUAAUCUAGUGGCGAACGGGUGAGUAAUGCAUCGGAACGUACCCGGGAGUGGGGGAUAACGCACCGAAAGGUGUGCUAAUACCGCAUAUUCUGUGAGCAGGAAAGCAGGGGACCUUAGGGCCUUGUGCUUCCGGAGCGGCCGAUGUCGGAUUAGCUAGUUGGUGAGGUAAAGGCUCACCAAGGCGACGAUCCGUAGCGGGUCUGAGAGGAUGAUCCGCCACACUGGGACUGAGACACGGCCCAGACUCCUACGGGAGGCAGCAGUGGGGAAUUUUGGACAAUGGGCGCAAGCCUGAUCCAGCCAUGCCGCGUGUCUGAAGAAGGCCUUCGGGUUGUAAAGGACUUUUGUCAGGAAGGAAAACCUAUUGGCUAAUAUCCAGUGGGGAUGACAGUACCUGAAGAAUAAGCACCGGCUAACUACGUGCCAGCAGCCGCGGUAAUA